GGUCUGAUCAAAUUUCACAGUACAGUUAAAGAAACAUUGUUUUUUAUUUCAUAUUUUGAUGUCAUGCCAUGUCUCAUUUUAAAGGCUGCACCUUCUGAAGGCCACAUUUAUCACUCACAAACGUCAUUGAAACCGCCUCAUUUUGAAAAGUAAUCAUUACUUUCCAAAUUAAGUGAAAAAAUAUUUGUCUCGGGGAAUAACAGUUAAUUUUAUAAUUACUUUUCUUAAAUAACUCAUCCAUGUAGACAUAGAUGUAGCUGACAAAUGCGACCUCAUGAGGACGCAGCCCUUGAAAUGUGACAGCAGAACGGUUUGGGAACUGGCUAACAUUAAAAUCCAUUUGCAUUAACACAUAUAACUGAAACAGUUGUGAUAAUUCAUUUCUGUAACUUCAUUUUCAGUUACACAUAAUGAUAAUAAUAAUCAGAUGUCUCAGUCCAUGGCACUCAGCUGUGGUCUCUAAUGUUUUCUCCUGUGUCUUCACCACAGUUCUGACUGGCUUGUCUUCAGAUGCUAUGGAAUGGGCCUGGUAACUUGGUAACCGGUAACACUCAAGCCCCUCCUCUGGCCUCAUUUACAUAAUUUCUUUGUGUAGUCCAGGCACUGUUCCCUUCCCACUUUUCCAAGUAAUAAAAAGAGCGUAUGAAGUCUGACAGUCCAACACAUUAGCUCAUUGUUCCUGGUUGUAGCUUAGUUCUCUGCAUAAGCUACCACAUGAUGACUAUAAGCUAUUUCAGACCUCACAAUAGGCUUUCUACCCUCUGAAUUUACUACUCUGAAUGUUGAUUGCAAACCCAAUGAAAACGCACAAACUGAACGCAGUCAGACUUUUCUCUAUAAAGAGUUAAUUCUGAACUGUUAAACCUUAUAGAGGAAACUGAUGAUUGUUGAAACUCAAAAAUCUGUUUAGAACUAUCAGCCAUUGAUGUUAUAGGUGACCUGUCUGCUAUCUUUUAUCACCAACGGCCACUAUUGUGAGAAUAUUUGCUGGCAUUUUGUAACCAAUGUCCUGAUCUGAAUCUUGUUUCAGGUGGACAGAUGUGAGUAUCUGCUGAGUAAUUAACGCACACUUGGCUGUCUUCAGAUGAAACCAGGAGGGUUUGUUAUUGAUUAGAAGCCUUUGUUUCCUACAGCUGAACAAGCACAUUUAAUUAUUCAUUUGUUAUGUAUGUGAGAUUUUCUACACAUUAUUUUGUGCUGUUUUCAGUGUCCACAGAACAUCAUGGUUGCAUUGUAGGUAUCUAUUCAUCAGUGAUUAAACAUGAAAACAAUGCAGUGCAUCUCAUCUUGGCUCACAUUUCUGUAAGUACCAGCUCAUUUUUUAAGUCAAGCAUAUUUUGCAAGUAAUUUUGUUAAAAUAGUUUAGAAUCAAAUGUAUUUGAGGAAUGUCUUGGAAUGAUGCAUUAGAAAUGUAAAUAUACUGCUUACCAUUGUUGUGUGCUACAUGCAGUG
Cyprinus carpio carpio is the source of this 1452-nucleotide long non-coding RNA. The record is from Ensembl. NCBI's taxonomy places the organism in Eukaryota, Metazoa, Chordata, Actinopteri, Cypriniformes, Cyprinidae.